UAGUUCAUACAUAGUCAAGGCGCUCGCGAGAGCUUAAUAGGGAAAUCGGUGCAAGCCCGAUGCGAUCCCGUCACUGUGAUGCGGAGGAUGUUCCAUGAUGUCACUGGAGGAAACUCUGGGAAGGCGGAACAGACGAUGAUGCAGAGCCAGGAGACCUGCCUUGAUUUGUGAAACCAC
RNAcentral lists this non-coding RNA (177 nucleotides) under Selenomonas sputigena. The record is from RNAcentral. Lineage: Bacteria; Bacillati; Bacillota; Negativicutes; Selenomonadales; Selenomonadaceae.